RNAcentral lists this ribosomal RNA (253 nucleotides) under uncultured bacterium. Its description in RNAcentral is "partial 16S ribosomal RNA". It matches the Rfam family "Bacterial small subunit ribosomal RNA", at positions 524 to 776 of the family's 1533-position model. The record is from RNAcentral.
GACAGAGGGUGCAAACGUUGUUCGGAAUUACUGGGCGUAAAGCGUGUGUAGGCGGCCAAGUAAGUCGGAUGUGAAAGCCCCGGGCUUAACCCGGGAAGUGCAUUCGAUACUGCGUGGCUUGAGUAUCGGAGAGGUUGGUGGAAUUCUCGGUGUAGAGGUGAAAUUCGUAGAUAUCGAGAGGAACACCGGUGGCGAAGGCGGCCAACUGGACGAAUACUGACGCUGAGACACGAAAGCGUGGGGAGCAAACAGG